AUUUCUUUGGGGAAUUUAUAAGUUGUUUCUUGUUUUUAUUUUUUAUGGGCGGGGUUAAAGACAAAAAAUUGUAUUUAUUUGAAUGAGUAAAAUAGUGAAUAUUUGGUUUAUGCUAUAGUUUAGUUUGUACUGUAAAGGGUUGUUAUUUCUUUAGUUAAAAGAAGAGUUUUAUUUUUGUACCUUUUGUAUCAGGGAUAACCAAAAUAUUUAGUUUAUUAGUUUAGGUCUCGAAAUUGAACGAGCGAAUAGGCUAUAAUUGUUUAUGUGAAACAAUGAAGUUAUAAAUAGUCUAUUAGUGGUGAUAUGCUAGCCGAGUUUAAUAUAUCUAGUUUUUUCUGAAGUAAAUUCAAUUUAUUUCUUUAUUUAAAGAAUAUAAAGAUUAAAUUUUAAGGGGGAUAAGCUUCUUAAGAUUUGUAUGUAAAGUAAGAUAAUAAAAAUGUCUUUUAUUUAGGCUUAAGAUCAGCCAAGAGUUUAAAUCGUUUUAGAUAAUUGAGAGUUUAAAAUUUAUUUAAAAAUUGCUUACAUUGUUUAAGAAAAAUCGAGUUUUAGCUUAAUUUACGGGGAUAAAAUGGUUAUAUUAGUAUGUUGGUUGUGUGUAGAGGUAAGUUUAAUUUAGAAAUAAGUUAUAUAUUAGCGCAAGAAGAUAGAGCUAAAGAACUCGGCAAAUUUUUACCCUUGCCUGUUUAUCAAAAACAUGUCUAUACAGAGGCUAUGGAUGUAUAGUCUGGCCUGCUCUCUGAGGAUUUAAAGGGCCGCGGUAUUUGGACCGUGCUAAGGUAGCAUAAUAAAUAGUCUUUUAAUUGGAGUCUAGUAUGAAUGGUCGGACAUGGGGUAGGCUGUUUUAGCUGUAAAGUUUGAAUUUUACUUUUAAGUGAAAAGGCUUAAAUUGGGUGGAGGGACGAUAAGACCCUAUAAAGCUUUAUACUUUACAUAUUUAGUUUGGCAGCUAAGGUUUGUUAUUUUUAUGGGUAAAGUAUUUCGUUGGGGCGAUGGAAAUAUAAAUUGAUAACUGUUUUUAAUUUAAAAAUAAAUUUUUUUAGGAGAGUUGAUCCUCUAUGAAGAUUAUAAGAAUCAAGUUACUUUAGGGAUAACAGCGUGAUUUUUCUUGAGAGUUCAUAUCGACAGAUAGAGUUGCGACCUCGAUGUUGAAUUAAAAUAUCUCCAAGGUGUAGCAGUUUUGGUGGUGGGUCUGUUCGACCCUUAAAAUUUU
This 1210-nucleotide ribosomal RNA is filed under the name Caridina sp. FB-27. RNAcentral's name for it is "partial 16S ribosomal RNA". The stretch from base 1087 to 1210 matches the Rfam family "Archaeal large subunit ribosomal RNA", at positions 2544 to 2668 of the family's 2987-position model. Lineage: Eukaryota; Metazoa; Arthropoda; Malacostraca; Decapoda; Atyidae. The record is from RNAcentral.